This 477-nucleotide ribosomal RNA is filed under the name uncultured bacterium. Its description in RNAcentral is "bacterial SSU rRNA". It matches the Rfam family "Bacterial small subunit ribosomal RNA", at positions 28 to 507 of the family's 1533-position model. The record is from RNAcentral.
GAUGAACGCUGGCGGCGUGCCUAACACAUGCAAGUCGAGCGUGAACCCUUAGAAUGAAACUUCGGUCGAAUGAAGAGGGGGAAAGCGGCGGACGGGUGAGUAACGCGUAGGCAACCUGCCCCGUACAGAGGGAUAGCCUCGGGAAACCGGGAUUAAAACCUCAUAAUACCAUGGUAUCACAUGAUGCAAUGGUCAAAGAUUUAUCGGUAUGGGAUGGGCCUGCGUCUGAUUAGCUGGUUGGUGGGGUAACGGCCUACCAAGGCAACGAUCAGUAGCCGACCUGAGAGGGUAAUCGGCCACAUUGGAACUGAGACACGGUCCAAACUCCUACGGGAGGCAGCAGUGGGGAAUAUUGCACAAUGGGCGAAAGCCUGAUGCAGCAACGCCGCGUGAGCGAAGAAGGCCUUGGGUCGUAAAGCUCUGUCGGGAAGGAAGAUAAUGACGGUACUUCCCGAGGAAGCCCCGGCUAACUACGUG